This 3038-nucleotide long non-coding RNA is filed under the name Homo sapiens (human). RNAcentral's name for it is "HSALNT0348095". Lineage: Eukaryota; Metazoa; Chordata; Mammalia; Primates; Hominidae. The record is from RNAcentral.
GCAACCCUCUGCCAUCCUCUUCUUCAAUGUGGAAGGAACUGUAACACUCACUGCGAGAGUCUGCGGCUUCAUUCUUUUAGUCAGUGAGACCAAGAACCCACCAAUUCCGGACAGGGCAUCUACCUAGAAGUCAGCAGCUCAGUGGAGUCUUUCCUGGUAACCCGACCUAAAAUCCCCAAACUGCCAAGAAUUGGUGUACAAAUAUCACGGACAGUGGGAAAAACAAUGAAUGCUGCCUGCUUAAGUCACAAGGCUCUUUAUUCUGAUAUCCCACUGCUCAUUCCAAAUCCCAAGAUCCUGAGGAACUGUCAUUGAUCGACUCAGAGAUAAGCUAUCCAACUUUGAUCUAAUUAAGGAUGUUCAGAGUCUAUUUCAUGUUUUGCAUAAUGAUUACCAGGGUCACCAGUGCUGAUAAGGAGGAAUGCAAGUAGACAUUGAGAUGGGCUUAAUGUAGUUUUUCAGAUUUGAACCUUCUAAAAAGAUUAUCUGGAUUAGAAUCUGGGCUCUGCUUUGAAGCUGUAGGAAUUUGGACCAUUUAACUUUUGUAUGCCUUAGUUUCCUAAUUUAUGAAAAAUAAUAAUCAUAGCCCAAACUUUAUGAAAAUAUUGUGGAAAAUUAAGUUAAUCAUGGCAGAAGUUUGUAAAACAUCGGCAUACAGUGGGCACUCUGUAAAUAGUGGCUGAUGUACUAUUAUCAUUAUAGACCAGGACAAGUUAUUUAAAUAUUAACUUCUGUGUUUUUUUUUUUUUUUUACUUUCUGUCUAUAUUUUUUAUUCUGAUUUACUUCCAUAAGCCAAGUAUCUGUAUUCCCUUUGUGUAACAGGCAUAAAUGCAGAAGUUAUUUUCACAAAACUUGCAUUAUUGGCUUGGGCUUGAAGGGAUUAGUAGACAUGAAGAGACAAGUAUGUUCAAAGACAGGAUGGAGACAAAGACUCCCUAAGUUGGAGAAACAUUAAAGAAAGGGAAGAUUCUAUUUCUGCUGCACACAGGCAAGCAUUUCUCUUGGAUAUAUUCCUAAGAAUGGGGCUGUGGGAUGUAGUGGAAAUAUUCAACUUGAAAAGAAAAUCUCAAAUUGUUUUCCAAAUGUCUAUGGAUCGAAACACACACAAGCUGCUUAUAAAAGAUCCGUUGACUUGAAUUCUCUUUAGCAUUUAGUAUUGUCAAAACUCAUAUUUUCCAAUCCAUUGGUUGUGAACGACCUCAUUAAGACCAUGAUUUGUGUUUCCCCCAUUGCUUGUUUUGUCAUAUGUUUAUUGGCCAUGUGUAUUUCCUAUUCCGUGGAAUGCCUGUUGAUAGAGUGAUAUUCUAAACAUUUAGCAACUGGUACAGGAAAGGCAACAAUCAUUGUAAGUAGAUAUUAGCGCAAUCAGAAAAUAAGCUAGAUGUGAAGGACAUUAAGCCUGCCCUGUUCUGUAUGGGCUGAACAUUAGCACAAGCUUUUCACAUCUUUUGUCUAUUUUCGACAGGGUUGUAUACUUUUUCAUUAUGGAUGUAUAGUCUGUAUGCUUUAUAUACCAAUCCUUUAUUAGACAUGCAUAUGACAAGUAUUUUCUCCCAGGUCUAGCUUAUUAUUUUUUCAUGAAAUCCUAAUUUUAGUGUAGUUAAAUUUAACAAUCCUUUAUUAAAACUGAUGGUUUAUGUUGCUGCUGCUGUUUUUAUAUCUCAUUUAAGAAAUCUCAUACCAAAGCCUUUAUUUUCUUCUAAAUAUUUAAAAUAUUUCCAUUAGAUAAUUAAAUGUUCUGGUUUUUAAUUCUACAUAUAAUGUGAGACCGAGAUCUAUUUUCAUUUUUUUACAGAUAACGAGUUUUCCUAUUUGCUUAGUACCUCCUUUCUUCAUAAAUACCCCAUAUCAGUGUUUUAAUAUGUUAAAUUUUCAUAUAUUCAAAAUAUUUUUUAACUUUUCUUUGUUUUAUUAGUCUGUGUGUUUAUUCCUGUGCCAAUAUCAUUGUCAUAAGUACUUUAGUUUUACAUUAAGUGUGCAAGUCCCCCUUCAGAAGGGUUAUGUAUCAUUGAACCUCUGCUUUUUAUUAUUUUUGAUUAUUUUAUUUUAUUUUUUAACUCUUAUUUUAAGUUCAGGGUUACAAGUGCAGGUUCAUUACAUAGGAAAACUUGUGUCAUGAGGGUUUGUUGUACAGAUUAUUUCCUCAUCCAGGUAUUAAGCCUAGUAUCCAUUAGUUAUUUUUCCUGAUCUUCUCCCUCCUCUCACCCUCCAUUCUCUGGAAGGCCCCAGUGUGUGUUGUUCCCCUCUGUGCCUAUGUGAUCACAUCAUUUAGCUCCCACUUAUAAGUGAGAACACAGAAUAUUUGUUUUUCUCUUCCUGUGUUAUUUUGCUAAGGAUAUUGGCCUCCAGCUUCAUCCAUGUCCCUGCAAAGGACAUGAUCUUGUUCUUUAUGACUGCAUAAUAUUCUAUGGCAUAUAGGUACCACAUUUUCUUAGAGCUUCUGCACAGCAAAAGAAGCUACCAACAGACUAAGCAGACAGCCUACAGAAUGGGAGAAAAUUUUUGCAUACUAUGCAUCUGACAAAGGUCUAAUAUCAAGCAUCUAUAAGGAAUUUACACAAAUUAACAAGAAAAAAACAACUCCAUAAAAUAGUGGGCAAAGGACGUAAACAGAUACCUUUCAAAAGAAGGCAUACAUGUGGCCAACUACCAUAUGAAAAAAAGCCCAAAAUCUCUAAUCAUUAGAGAAAUGCAAAUCAAAACCACAGCGACAUAACAUCCCACACCAGUCAGAAUGGCUAAUAGUAAAUGUCAAAAAAUAACAGAUGCUGGUGAGGUUAUGGAGAAAAAAGAAUGCAUACACACUACUUUUUAUUCUUAGUUUUAGAAAGAAACCUCCUGCAAUUCUAUAUAAAAUUCUGUUACCGUUGUGUGUGGAGUUACCUUAUAUCUAUAUAUUAUUUAAGAGAGAAUUAACAUUUUUAUCCAGUCAAGAGUCUCUGUACAUAGUGUGUGUGUCUUUAUUUGCUCAGAUUUUCAUUAAUAUAUUUCAGUAGAAUUUUAUCAUUUUGCAUAUACAGGUAUUACAAAUCUCUGU